RNAcentral lists this long non-coding RNA (280 nucleotides) under Neogobius melanostomus (round goby). RNAcentral describes it as "lncRNA (ENSNMLG00000006909.1)". Lineage: Eukaryota; Metazoa; Chordata; Actinopteri; Gobiiformes; Gobiidae. The record is from RNAcentral.
GCAAAUUCAUAUCCAAGCGCCACCAACUGGGACCCAAGUGGACAACAACCACAAUUUCGAGGCUGCGUUUGCGCCAAAGUCUGACCCAGAUGUGUCCUCGUCCGAUCUGUCCUCUUCGCCAUCCGAGAGCCCGGGAGGCACUUCAUCAUCCAUGAGCUCUCCAAUAAACCCCGCCGUGAGCGAAAUGAGCUGCAGUAGCCCUAAACCAACACCGUCUCCUUCCAACUCUGGUAAGACUUACAUUUAUAGCUCUGUUUACCCUCAAUCUUUACAUCAUAAA